Molecule: long non-coding RNA, 492 nt
Organism: Urocitellus parryii (Arctic ground squirrel)
Lineage: Eukaryota; Metazoa; Chordata; Mammalia; Rodentia; Sciuridae
Source: RefSeq, a predicted model, not a curated record
CUCCAAGGGGCCUCAGGCGAAUCAGGAAGGUGCCUGUGGGGCCAGGCUGGGACCACAGAUGGGCCAGAGUCUCUGUGGAGCAGGACCCCUGGAAACCCUCCUCCCAUUUCAUGUGGACAAUUUUAGUUUGGUUUCUGGAAAACUUCCUUCAACAGUUGUCUGCAGUGGGCACAGGUGGGUCCUGGCAUGGCUGCUCAGAUUUCAGACGAACCCUCUUUAUUAAGGUCUCUGGUCAUCUUUUCUCCUCUUUUCAAAUCAAGUUCAAGUCCUUCCUCUGAAAAGCUUUCUGUGGCCAUCUGGAUAUCUAUUCCUCAGGAUGGUGCUGAUUCCUGUCAUUCACAUCUAUGGUCUUUGUUAGAUGUGUGCAGUCACUGUAUCUUCUUGAGUGCUGGCCUCCUGUCUGUCCAGAGGGCCCUUGAGCUCUUGCAGGUGGAGACCAUGUCUUAAAUGUCUUGCCUCUUCCUUCUCUCCCCCCUGAGCAUCGAGAACCAA